This is a non-coding RNA of Turnera subulata, 72 nucleotides long. NCBI's taxonomy places the organism in Eukaryota, Viridiplantae, Streptophyta, Magnoliopsida, Malpighiales, Passifloraceae. The record is from the annotation of a GenBank genome assembly.
GGGUCAAUAGCUCAGUGGUAGAGCAUUUGAUUAUAAAUGAAGAGGUCAUCGGUUCGAAUCUGGUUGGGCCCU